GACGAACGCUGGCGGCGUGCUUAACACAUGCAAGUCGAACGGAAAGGCCCUGCUGUUGUGGGGUGCUCGAGUGGCGAACGGGUGAGUAACACGUGAGUAACCUGCCCUUGACUUUGGGAUAACUUCAGGAAACUGGGGCUAAUACCGGAUAGGAGCUCCUGCUGCAGGGUGGGGGUUGGAAAGUUUCGGCGGUUGGGGAUGGACUCGCGGCUUAUCAGCUUGUUGGUGGGGUAGUGGCUUACCAAGGCUUUGACGGGUAGCCGGCAUGAGAGGGUGACCGGCCACAUUGGGCCUGCGAUACGGCGCAGUCUCCUACGGGAGGCAGCAGUGGGGAAUCUUGCCCAGUGGGCGGAAGCGUGAUGCAGCAACGCCGCGUGCGGGAUGACGGCCUUCGGGUUGUAAACCGCUUUCGCCUGUGACGAAGAGUGAGUGACGGUAAUGGGUAAAGAAGCACCGGCUAACUACGUG
This 468-nucleotide ribosomal RNA is filed under the name uncultured bacterium. Its description in RNAcentral is "partial 16S ribosomal RNA". It matches the Rfam family "Bacterial small subunit ribosomal RNA", at positions 28 to 507 of the family's 1533-position model. The record is from RNAcentral.